GAGUUUGAUCUUGACUCAGAUUGAACGCUGGCGGCAUGCUUUACACAUGCAAGUCGAGCGGCAGCGCGGGGCAACCUGGCGGCGAGCGGCGAACGGGUGAGUAAUGCAUCGGAACGUGUCCCGGAGUGGGGGAGUAACGCCGCGAAAGACGGCGCUAAUACCGCAUAGGCUCUGCGGAGCAAAGACGGGGGAGUCUCGCGAGAGGCCUCGCGCUGUGGGGGCGGGCCGAUGUCCGAUUAGCUGGUUGGUGGGGUAACGGCCUACCAAGGCGACGAUCGGUAGCUGGUCUGAGAGGAUGAUCAGCCACACUGGGACUGAGACACGGCCCAGACUCCUACGGGAGGCAGCAGUGGGGAAGUAUUGGGCAAUGGGCGGAAGCCUGAUCCAGCCAUGCCGCGUGAGUGAUGAAGGCCUUCGGUU
Molecule: ribosomal RNA, 420 nt
Filed under: uncultured beta proteobacterium
Lineage: Bacteria; Pseudomonadati; Pseudomonadota; Betaproteobacteria
Description: bacterial SSU rRNA
Rfam family: Bacterial small subunit ribosomal RNA
Source: RNAcentral